GACUGCCUGUUCCAUUUGCUGACCUUGGGUUACCUUUCCAUGCGUGGCUCUUUGAACCAUUGUGGCCCUUGGCUGACCAAAAACAGGAAGCCAUGUGACGACCGCAACCUUUCCCCAUUAGACCUGGGUGGUGAGGAUCCCAAGGGUUAGACACAGAUGAGAUUAAACUGAAAUAGGUGGAUAUGGUUAUAGAAGAAGUGGCCGAGAUAAAUAUGGCCCUCCUACUCGCACAGAGUACAGACUUAUUGUGGAGAAUUUGUCAAGUCGGUGCAGCUGGCAAGACCUAAAGGAUUAUAUGCGUCAGGCAGGAGAAGUGACUUAUGCAGAUGCUCACAAGGGACGCAAAAAUGAAGGGGUGAUUGAAUUUGUAUCUUAUUCUGAUAUGAAAAGAGCUUUGGAAAAGUUGGAUGGAACUGAAGUCAAUGGGAGAAAAAUCAGAUUAGUUGAAGACAAGCCAGGUUCCAGACGACGCCGGUCCUACUCCAGAAGCCGGAGUCAUUCAAGGUCUCGCUCUCGAAGCAGACAUUCCCGUAAGAGCAGAAGCCGAAGUGGCAGCAGCAAAAGCAGUCAUUCUAAGAGUAGAUCUCGGUCCAGGUCGGGCUCCCGCUCCCGGAGCAAGAGCCGGAGCCGGAGCCAGAGUCGGAGCCGGAGCAAG
Molecule: long non-coding RNA, 655 nt
Filed under: Homo sapiens (human)
Lineage: Eukaryota; Metazoa; Chordata; Mammalia; Primates; Hominidae
Description: long non-coding RNA NONHSAT151338.1
Source: RNAcentral